This 363-nucleotide unclassified non-coding RNA is filed under the name uncultured Helotiaceae. RNAcentral's name for it is "sequence contains ITS2". The stretch from base 1 to 154 matches the Rfam family "5.8S ribosomal RNA". Lineage: Eukaryota; Fungi; Ascomycota; Leotiomycetes; Helotiales; Helotiaceae. The record is from RNAcentral.
AACUUUCAACAAUGGAUCUCUUGGUUCUGGCAUCGAUGAAGAACGCAGCGAAAUGCGAUCAGUAAUGUGAAUUGCAGAAUUCAGUGAAUCAUCGAAUCUUUGAACGCACAUUGCGCCCCUUGGUAUUCCGAGGGGCAUGCCUGUUCGAGCGUCAUUAUAACCACUCAAGCCUCGGCUUGGUAUUGGGGUUCGCGGUCUCGCGGCCCUUAAAAUCAGUGGCGGUGCCGUCUGGCUCUAAGCGUAGUAAUUUCUCUCGCUAUAGAGUCCGGGUGGUUACUUGCCAAAAUCCCCCACUUUUUUAAGGUUGACCUCGGAUCAGGUAGGGAUACCCGCUGAACUUAAGCAUAUCAAUAAGCGGAGGCU